UGCAUGGUGGUGCAGUUGGUGACACAACAAAAAAGGUCCUGGGUUCAAAUCCCGGCCUGGAGUUUGCAU
Non-coding RNA from Ataeniobius toweri, 69 nucleotides. The record is from the annotation of a GenBank genome assembly. Lineage: Eukaryota; Metazoa; Chordata; Actinopteri; Cyprinodontiformes; Goodeidae.